This 83-nucleotide small RNA is filed under the name Arabidopsis thaliana (thale cress). RNAcentral describes it as "ATSL052370". The record is from RNAcentral. Lineage: Eukaryota; Viridiplantae; Streptophyta; Magnoliopsida; Brassicales; Brassicaceae.
UUUUGUAACAAUAUCUUUGCCAAAUCCAGCAAGAAACGGCAUUCUCUUCACUAAUCCACCUUCAUGAUAAAAUUACAUUUGAU